RNAcentral lists this ribosomal RNA (253 nucleotides) under uncultured bacterium. RNAcentral's name for it is "partial 16S ribosomal RNA". It matches the Rfam family "Bacterial small subunit ribosomal RNA", at positions 524 to 776 of the family's 1533-position model. The record is from RNAcentral.
UACGUAGGGGGCUAGCGUUGUCCGGAAUCAUUGGGCGUAAAGCGCGCGUAGGCGGCCAGAUAAGUCCGGUGUGAAAGUCACAGGCUCAACCUGUGAAUGCCGCUGGAAACUGUCUGGCUUGAGUCCGGAAGGGGCGAGUGGAAUUCCUGGUGUAGCGGUGAAAUGCGUAGAUAUUCGCAAGAACACCAGUGGCGAAGGCGGCUCACUGGCCCGAUACUGACGCUGAGGCACGAAAGCGUGGGGAGCAAACAGG